RNAcentral lists this ribosomal RNA (465 nucleotides) under uncultured bacterium. RNAcentral's name for it is "partial 16S ribosomal RNA". It matches the Rfam family "Bacterial small subunit ribosomal RNA", at positions 28 to 507 of the family's 1533-position model. The record is from RNAcentral.
GACGAACGCUGGCGGCGUGCUUAACACAUGCAAGCCGAACGGAAAGGCCCCUUUGGGGGUACUCGAGUGGCGAACGGGUGCGUAACACGUGAGUAACCUGCCUUUGACUUCGGGUUAACUUCAGGAAACUGGGGCUAAUACCGGAUAGGAAUCCUUGCUGCAUGGUGGGGGUUGGAAAGCUUCGGCGGUUUUGGAUGGACUCGCGGCUUAUCAGCUUGUUGGUGGGGUAGUGGCUUACCAAGGCUUUGACGGGUAGCCGGCCUGAGGGGGCGACCGGCCACAUUGGGACUGAGAUACGGCCCAGACUCCUCCGGGAGGCAGCAGUGGGGAAUAUUGCACAAUGGGCGGUAGCCUGAUGCAGCACCGCCGCGUGCGGGAUGACGGCCUUCGGGUUGUAAACCGCUUUCAGCAGGGGCGAAGCUUGUGGUGACGGUACCUGCAGAAGAAGCACCGGCUAACUACGUG